This is a long non-coding RNA of Bactrocera tryoni, 241 nucleotides long. RefSeq lists it as uncharacterized. NCBI's taxonomy places the organism in Eukaryota, Metazoa, Arthropoda, Insecta, Diptera, Tephritidae. The record is from RefSeq and is a predicted model, not a curated record. The transcript has 2 exons.
UGAUUGACAUACAUAUGUAAAUAUAUAUAAAAUCGGACUCAUAUAAGCAGACAAACAAAUUGUGUGUGGUACACAAAAACCUAACCUUUUUGAAAUCACAUUGGUUCGCUAUUAUUUUCAACUAUGUUCCUAUAAAUCUCUAUGUGUUUAUUUUGAAAUGAGGUAGAAUUGCAUGGUAUAGAGGAGUAAGGAAAGUCCCAUUCACAAUAGAAAAAAGAGCCAUUCACAGUCCUUAACCUAC